RNAcentral lists this ribosomal RNA (483 nucleotides) under uncultured bacterium. RNAcentral's name for it is "partial 16S ribosomal RNA". It matches the Rfam family "Bacterial small subunit ribosomal RNA", at positions 899 to 1397 of the family's 1533-position model. The record is from RNAcentral.
ACUCAAAGGAAUUGACGGGGACCCGCACAAGCGGUGGAGCGUGUUCUUUAAUUCGAUGAUAAGCGAAGAACCUUACCAGGGCUUGACAUCCUGCUAAAUUCUGGGAAACCAGAAUGUGCCUUCGGGCCGCAGAGACAGGUGUUGCAUGGCCGUCGUCAGCUCGUGUCGUGAGAUGUUUGGUUAAGUCCAUCAACGAGCGCAACCCUUAUGAUUAGUUGGAUUUUUCUAAUCAGACUGCCUCGGCAACGGGGAGGAAGGAGGGGAUGAUGUCAGGUCAUUAUUACCCUUACGUCCUGGGCUAGAAACGCGCUACAAUGGCCGGUACAAAGGGCUGCCAACCCGCAAGGGGGAGCAAAUCCCGAUAAAGCCGGUCCCAGUUCGGAUUGCAGGCUGAAACUCGCCUGCAUGAAGCCGGAAUCGCUAGUAAUCGUAGGUCAGCACACUACGGUGAAUCCGUUCCCGGGUCUUGUACACACCGCCCGU